GACGAACGCUGGCGGCGUGCUUAACACAUGCAAGUCGAACGGGAGUAUUGAAGAAGCUUGCUUUAGAGAUACUUUAGUGGCGGACGGGUGAGUAACGCGUGAGGAGCUGUCCUAUGCAGGGGGACAACAGCUGGAAACGGCUGCUAAUACCCCAUAAGCCGAGAGGUAAAAGGAUCAAUCCGGCAGAGGAGGUACUCGCGUCCUAUCAGCUAGUAGGUGAGGUAACGGCUCACCUAGGCGAAGACGGGUAGCCGGCCUGAGAGGGCGAACGGCCACACUGGAACUGAGAUACGGUCCAGACUCCUACGGGAGGCAGCAGUGGGGAAUAUUGGGCAAUGGGGGAAACCCUGACCCAUCGACGCCGCGUGGGUGAAGAAAUCCUUCGGGAUGUAAAGCCCUGUUGUAUGGGAAGAGCGGAAGACGGUACCAUACGAGGAAGCCCCGGCAAACUACGUGCCAGCAGCCGCGGUAAUACCUAUGGGGCAAGCGUUGUCCGGAAUUACUGGGCGU
RNAcentral lists this ribosomal RNA (510 nucleotides) under uncultured bacterium. RNAcentral describes it as "bacterial SSU rRNA". It matches the Rfam family "Bacterial small subunit ribosomal RNA", at positions 28 to 561 of the family's 1533-position model. The record is from RNAcentral.